This 265-nucleotide long non-coding RNA is filed under the name Calidris pugnax (ruff). RNAcentral describes it as "lncRNA (ENSCPUG00000017243.1)". Lineage: Eukaryota; Metazoa; Chordata; Aves; Charadriiformes; Scolopacidae. The record is from RNAcentral.
CAUUGGCAUUAAACGCAGCCCCUGUGCCCUCAGGAGUGAGAAUAAGGACUUAACUGCUAUUGCUGCUGUUCAUGCAGCAGCCUUAAAGGUUCGGUUUGGACUCGCACUCUUUGGCCCAUCUGGAGGCGAUUUCUGCAAAGUCUGUUCUCUGAAUCGGUCCAAUUCAUCAUCCACGUGAUGCUGUGGUGCUAUCUGCGGUAAAAUCAAGAUGUGGCACCCAUGUGAAACUAGAGGGAAUGAGAAGGGAGUUUGCAAAUGCAACAAU